Apus apus (common swift) is the source of this 1924-nucleotide long non-coding RNA. RefSeq lists it as uncharacterized. The transcript has 8 exons. NCBI's taxonomy places the organism in Eukaryota, Metazoa, Chordata, Aves, Apodiformes, Apodidae. The record is from RefSeq and is a predicted model, not a curated record.
AGAAUAUAGGAUAGAACUGGGAUUAUGAAGAAGAAAAACAUUUGCAACUGAAGAGCUUCCUGAACCAAAAGAGCUCUUCUUGCUUUUAAUAGUUUUUAAUGGAAUUUUCUUCCAUUAAUUCAUCUAAUUGUUUUUUUUUUUGGUGCAUAUAUAAAUUGUUGGCAUCCAGUUUUCUCUAGCAAAGGGUUACCAUGCACAGAAGAACCUCUCUGUGUUUUACUUUAACCUGCCAUCAGCAUUUGUUUUGAGCCUACACAUAAUAAGUUUGAUCUUUUUCUGGAAGAAUCAGCAAACUGUUCUGCUUCAUGUUCUACACAAGAUACACAAUCCUCUGUCAUCUCUCAUCUUGCCUGUCUCUUUUUCAGGCUGAAGAAUCUCAGUGUAUUUAAGGUCUCCCUGAAACAGUCCUACGUCACUGAUUUAAGAAGAAUAAUGCAUCACAGAAACUAAUUAGGAAUGCUGCUUCGAAAACAUGGGCUGGCACAUCACCUUGUGAUGACACAGCACAAAGAAUCUGUCAGCCUACAUGCACCACUGAACUGGGGAUUGUUGCAGUGUAAGAGAGAGCAGACACUGGGUGUUACCUGCUGACACACAGCAGCUGCCAAAUUUCCUCCUGCGCUGUCGCCAGAAAUUGCAAUUCGACUUGGGUCAACUGAGUACUCAGCUAAGACAUCAGGCUGCAAAAAAUGCUGAAUGGCACGAAGAGCAUCAUGGAAUUGCUCAGGGAAGCACACCUCUGGUACCAGCCUGUAUCUACCAAGAAGAGAAGUGAGAGACAAUUAUUAAUGCUGUUGACCUCUCCUUCAGGAUUAAGAGGUGGUAUCAGUUAUUCCUUAAUGGUAGCACUGGGAGUGGCCAUUAAGGAUGGGAAAAGUCCCUCUUGCUACCUGAGGAGGCAUAGAGAUAUGGUUCAGCCUUCUUUCAGAUGAAGCCAUAGAAGGCAUCUGGGCUGUAUGGACUUCCUGAUGUCACAAGAGAAACAGGGAAGGAAAAGAAAGAAAGUCUCCCAUUGGAUCUGGAUCACAGAGCAGCCAGCUGAGUACCAGAGUGGAGACAAUCACUACUGAAUUCAGGUAGCUCUGGGGAAAUGUGGCUGGUGAACUUCACAGCAUUAUGGGCUGGAGUGAGUAAUGGGCUGACAGACAUGAAGUGAGCUUAGCUGCUGGGAAACAAGGCAGAGCUGGAGGACCCCAGAAGGCGGGGGCCAGACAGGCCAGUGAGGCAAACGUCAGCACAGGACAUUAAAAAGGGCGCAGGAACGAGGCUCUGAAAAUCCAGCUGCAAUCCACUUGAAAUUUUGCUCAGGCAGCAUGCUGGGGGAGCAUCAUGGCCCUUCUGUCCAUACCAUUAAUGAAUCUGGUCAAGCUGAGAACUUGUUCUUCAGUCACUUGAGUGAAAAACGUGCAGCAAGUGUCAAGCCGUAGAUUUUACUGAAGAAUGAAGCUACUGUUGGGUUUUAUCCUUUUGUCCUAAAGAUAUGCUUUGAUUCAGCCAUACCAUGAGAAGAUGCACCAAUGGCUCAGAUGAGUGGUCUACCUACUCUCAGACUCUGUCUCCAGCAGUGGCAACCAAAGAAGCCAUUCAGGCAGAACAUGCAAGUCUUGACACUGUGCGGUCCACUCUCCUCAUACUUCUCAGUAUCUGCACUUACAGUAUUAUGAACACACAAGGUAAUUCCAUCUAGUCCUUUUGGCAACCAUUUAUGGGCCCUCUGUUCACUAAUGCAUUGUCUUUUUGCAAAUUGCUGCUGAUGACGUAACUGUCAUGUCUUGAGACAAAACCAAGCAUUCAGAGAGUUUUGUUCAGUCGUAUGAUGCCAAAUCAAGGUAGUUUCAUAUUUUAAAGAGCUUCCCUAUGUCUUCUUUCCUUAAGGCAUACUUAAUGUAUCUGAAUGAAAACAAAAAAAAAGGUUUUUUUGUUC